UUUCUCUCGGCCUCAGCCUUGUCUGUUCUCACUACAUUUGGCCAUGAGGUUUCUCAGUCCCUGGGCUACACUGUCCAUUCUGGCAGCAGCUGGUGGAUGUGCCUUGCAGUUUGGGUACCCGGCUGUGAUCAUGGAUUGAAUCCGGCCCCCUGAAUCCUUGUGUGUUACCCUCCCCUGGGUAUGGGGGCUGGGGUUUCCCAGUGACUGUGUCCCCUCUGGGCAGAGGGCAGCUCAGCAGCCAAGGGUUCCCCCACUCUGUCACUGCCACCAGAGAACUGCCCUGGCCACCGCCCCCCGGUUUUAUUUCUCACACACGGUGCUGCCAGUCUGUGCCCGCUACUGGAGCAGCGUGCCUUUCCUCCUCAGAGCACACCAACCCGAGAGGUUGUUUCUAUGAUCAGUUUUUCCAUCUGGAGAGACUGAGGCAUGCGGAGGUAAAACAACUCCGUCAAACACGGAAUCUGAGCUCCAAGGGACACAGCCACAGCAUGGGGGCAGGUCAAGGCCACUGUCAACCCACAGAGUAGUCCUUCAGGGGUCAGCAGCCCACCUUGGUGCCUCGCCCAUCCUUGUCCCCUAGGAAGGUCCUCUUCUACCUCCUGAAGCUGCAGCCUUCUGAGUUCUCCCUACAUGAGGCUCUGUGUGCAGCUGGGGCCCUCGCUGGGUCAGCUUCGGGGUCUACUCCUCCCGCAGGGUUUCUGCAGCAGCCCCUGCAUGUCUCCUCCAGCCCACCCCUCCUUCUUAGCACCCCAGGCAGCCUUGGCCCCGAGCCCCACCCCCUGCCUGAGAAAGCACAGCCUGGGAAGGGCUGCGGAGGAUGCCACGGCGGCCGGGUGUCCUGCCUCCUGCAUGCCACGUGGGGUCCACCAGUGCUUGCUCAGGGACUGGUUGCCAUUGUCAUCCGUGAAUCACCUCUGCAAGGCCUGGCUCUCGGGUUCCAGCUCCCAGUCUCACCCAGUGGAGGUCACUCGCUGCUUUGGCAGGAGGAGAACCGGUGCUCUGGGCCAGGCUUCCAGCCAAGGAUGCUGA
This 1029-nucleotide long non-coding RNA is filed under the name Oryctolagus cuniculus (rabbit). RNAcentral's name for it is "lncRNA (ENSOCUG00000034642.1)". Lineage: Eukaryota; Metazoa; Chordata; Mammalia; Lagomorpha; Leporidae. The record is from RNAcentral.